AACAGUGCCCACCAAAGGUAAUAUGAUUCAAUAAGACAGCUAGCUAGCUAGCUAGCUCGAUCGUUAGCAUGCUAAUAAGCUUCCAGUAAAAGUAAUGUGGACAUGUCCUGCAGGCAAGGUUCUGGAAAACUUUUCUAAAUCUUUAACAACACAGUCUGUGGAACUUGGUUUUGGUACCAUAUGUUUAUUUCAGUGCAGUAUUUGUUUUAUUCGAUUGCAGUUAAUUUAAAUUAGUUAGUACAGGUAGCCUAAUGAAAGUGGGCCAGGCACUUCUAGCAUUUACGCUAAGCCCGGUGUAUUUACACUGUUUAUUCUUGUGCUGAUUCAAUUGUACACCGUUUCAAUGAAAAAAACAAACAAACGUUUGCAAUGAAAUUAUAGCAGAAUUCAGCUUUGUUGGUACAUUUGGUCAAGACAAUAUUGUGUUACUCUAUUUUAAUUUUACAUUGUUAUCUGCCUGACAAAUGGUUUGCCCGAAUCUAUUAGUCUGACCAGCAAAUGUUUGAUGAAAUGAAUUUUUGUAUUUUUGAGGAAGAAAAUAAUAUUCCUUUGGCUCAGUACUUUUUGAGCCAAAAUAAGUGCUGCCAUAAUAUUGUGCUUGCUUGUCUGGCUGACUUCUUCUCACUUUCCAUUGUAGAUGUUUACUGGUGGUGAUAAUGUCACAAAGAAGAACCAGACUGAGCCCUGAAUCUGAGGCUGCUCCUUUUAUCUGGAGUCAACAAGCCUUGUUUGAAAGCCCAGUGGAUCAAUGAUUAUAAAGACACCAAGUGACGGGAUCUUGACUGAACCUUCUGGAAACCAAGAAGGGAGUGAGAGAUACACUUCAUCCUUACAACAGACAUCAAGUGACAGGUACCUGACUGAACCCUCUGGAAACCAAGAAUGGAGUGAGAGAUCCACUUCAUCCUUACAACAGACACCAAGUGACUUGACUGAACCCUCUGGAGACCAUGAAUGGAGUGAGAGAUCCACUUCUUCCUUACAACAGGUUACUACGUCUUAUCAUGAUAUACUAGGUUUGAGUUUUCAGCUUUCUUUGACAAACACAGGAGAAGUUAUAA
Molecule: long non-coding RNA, 1061 nt
Organism: Hippocampus zosterae (dwarf seahorse)
Lineage: Eukaryota; Metazoa; Chordata; Actinopteri; Syngnathiformes; Syngnathidae
Exons: 4
Source: RefSeq, a predicted model, not a curated record